ACUUGCGGAAGGAUCAUUG
This 19-nucleotide ribosomal RNA is filed under the name Sarmentypnum exannulatum. Its description in RNAcentral is "partial 18S ribosomal RNA". Lineage: Eukaryota; Viridiplantae; Streptophyta; Bryopsida; Hypnales; Amblystegiaceae. The record is from RNAcentral.